AUUGAACGCUGGCGGCAGGCCUAACACAUGCAAGUCGAGCGGAUGAAGGGAGCUUGCUCCUGGAUUCAGCGGCGGACGGGUGAGUAAUGCCUAGGAAUCUGCCUGGUAGUGGGGGAUAACGUCCGGAAACGGGCGCUAAUACCGCAUACGUCCUGAGGGAGAAAGUGGGGGAUCUUCGGACCUCACGCUAUCAGAUGAGCCUAGGUCGGAUUAGCUAGUUGGUGGGGUAAAGGCCUACCAAGGCGACGAUCCGUAACUGGUCUGAGAGGAUGAUCAGUCACACUGGAACUGAGACACGGUCCAGACUCCUACGGGAGGCAGCAGUGGGGAAUCUUGGACAAUGGGCGAAAGCCUGAUCCAGCCAUGCCGCGUGUGUGAAGAAGGUCUUCGGAUUGUAAAGCUCUUUAAGUUGGGAGGAAGGGAAGUAAGUUAAUACAUUGAUGUUUUGACGUUACCAACAGAAUAAGCACCGGCUAACUUCGUG
This 484-nucleotide ribosomal RNA is filed under the name uncultured bacterium. RNAcentral describes it as "partial 16S ribosomal RNA". It matches the Rfam family "Bacterial small subunit ribosomal RNA", at positions 30 to 507 of the family's 1533-position model. The record is from RNAcentral.